RNAcentral lists this RNase P RNA (343 nucleotides) under Candidatus Woesearchaeota archaeon B3_Woes. RNAcentral's name for it is "RNase P RNA component". It matches the Rfam family "Archaeal RNase P". Rfam says of the family: Ribonuclease P (RNase P) is a ubiquitous endoribonuclease, found in archaea, bacteria and eukarya as well as chloroplasts and mitochondria. The record is from RNAcentral. Lineage: Archaea; Nanobdellati; Candidatus Woesearchaeota.
GGGUAAGAACUUAGCUGACGGUGAAUUGAUGCUUCUGUAUUGAUUUGCUGAGGAAAGUCCGCCCACCAUUACUUAAUAUAAUUAAGUAAUAUGGCCAGUGGUGAAAGACCUCAUUCAGUAAUGGAUGGCAACCAUACAGAAACGAAACCACGUUUAAAAUGGGAUGAUGCGGUGAAACUCCUGGUAACAGGGGCGAGUUAACCUGUUGACGUCUUUAAACGAAAGGAUGAAACGAUGAGACCUGGUCGGUGCAAGUUUUAAACGCUUAGUUAAAUGCUAAGAAGGAGCAUCGUUGUAAUAUUACAACACAAAGGUUCCUACAGAAGGUGGCUUACUCUUACCC